UACGGAGGGUGCAAGCGUUGUCCGGAUUUAUUGGGCGUAAAGCGCAUGCAGGCGGCUCAUUACGCAUGGCGUGAAAGCCCCCGGCUUAACCGGGGAGGGUCGUCGUGAACGGGUGAGCUUGAGGGUAUCAGGGGCUGGUGGAAUUCCCGGUGUAGUGGUGAAAUGCGUAGAGAUCGGGAGGAACACCUGUGGCGAAGGCGGCCAGCUGGGAUACACCUGACGCUGAGAUGCGAAGGCGUGGGGAGCGAACGGG
Molecule: ribosomal RNA, 253 nt
Filed under: uncultured bacterium
Lineage: Bacteria
Description: partial 16S ribosomal RNA
Rfam family: Bacterial small subunit ribosomal RNA
Source: RNAcentral